GAGUCUCUGCUAUGCUCGUGAUGGCCUAGUACUUAUUUGAGCCAUUACCAUUAUGCUAGGGAGCUCGAGUCUUUUCAUGGUGUGCAUGCCCCCAGGCCGUCGGCCUAUAGGGGGAAGCCUAAAGUGGAAAGUAGGGCACCCACCUGUAACCCAGGUUCAAAUAGCAUGUGCCACACGGCAAUGCGGAGGCUUU
RNAcentral lists this non-coding RNA (193 nucleotides) under Acidobacteriota bacterium. RNAcentral's name for it is "Acidobacteria bacterium (groundwater metagenome) 6S RNA". It matches the Rfam family "6S / SsrS RNA". Rfam says of the family: E. coli 6S RNA was the first non coding RNA to be sequenced, but its function was unknown until recently. It consists of 184 nucleotides that fold into an extended hairpin structure with a large single-stranded internal bulge. The record is from RNAcentral. Lineage: Bacteria; Pseudomonadati; Acidobacteriota.